RNAcentral lists this ribosomal RNA (344 nucleotides) under uncultured prokaryote. RNAcentral describes it as "partial 16S ribosomal RNA". The record is from RNAcentral.
AAUAUCACGAAAAUAGUCACGCAAAGCAUUGGGAUUAUCAUAAAACGCCUCUAAUCGGUCGUCAGCCAACGUGAGAGUGUCAAAAACGAUAAACCAACCAUCAGCAUGAGCCUGUCGCAUUGCAUUCAUCAAACGCUGAAUAGCAAAGCCUCUACGCGAUUUCAUAGUGGAGGCCUCCAGCAAUCUUGAACACUCAUCCUUAAUACCUUUCUUUUUGGGGUAAUUAUACUCAUCGCGAAUAUCCUUAAGAGGGCGUUCAGCAGCCAGCUUGCGGCAAAACUGCGUAACCGUCUUCUCGUUCUCUAAAAACCAUUUUUCGUCCCCUUCGGGGCGGUGGUCUAUAG